Long non-coding RNA from Peromyscus eremicus (cactus mouse), 482 nucleotides. RefSeq lists it as uncharacterized. The transcript has 3 exons. Lineage: Eukaryota; Metazoa; Chordata; Mammalia; Rodentia; Cricetidae. The record is from RefSeq and is a predicted model, not a curated record.
AUGGCUUAGCUGGGCUGACAGAUUGUCAGCGAUGGUGGUGGAUCUCAUCUGAGACUCAGAAUUCUCUUCCAAGUACAAACUGGCAGAAUUUAUCUUUGUGUAGUUUUAACAUCUAUGGCAGCUUGCCUCUCUUAAGACAGCAGGAAACCCUGCUCUUAAAGACAAAGAAGACCAAUUUGGGAGAACACCACUUAUGUAUUGUGUGUUGGCAGACAGACUGGACUGUGCAGAUGCUCUUCUAAAAGCAGGAGCAGAUAUCAAUAAAACUGACCAUAGCCGGAGAACAGCCCUCCACCUUGCAGCUCAAAAGUGAGAAGUCAAAUUACUUUGAAGAGGAGACUGUGGCUGUUUGUUACCUGACUGGUGGAACUGUGCAGUGAACAAAUAAAUGUCAGAGGCAGACACCCAGGCUUCUGGGUGUCUACAAAAGUAUUCUGUAAACGUGGGUGUAAUAACAGUCAAUAAAACACGGAUAACUGGAA